GCCUGGGUGGCUCGGUCGGUUAAGCGUCUGACUUCAGCUCAGGUCAUCAUCUCGCGGUCUGUGGGUUCGAGCCCCGCGCCGGGCU
This 85-nucleotide transfer RNA is filed under the name Felis catus (domestic cat). It matches the Rfam family "tRNA". Rfam says of the family: Transfer RNA (tRNA) molecules are approximately 80 nucleotides in length. The record is from Rfam by way of RNAcentral. Lineage: Eukaryota; Metazoa; Chordata; Mammalia; Carnivora; Felidae.